This 374-nucleotide ribosomal RNA is filed under the name uncultured bacterium. RNAcentral's name for it is "bacterial SSU rRNA". It matches the Rfam family "Bacterial small subunit ribosomal RNA", at positions 524 to 896 of the family's 1533-position model. The record is from RNAcentral.
UACGGAGGGUGCGAGCGUUAAUCGGAAUUACUGGGCGUAAAGGGUGCGUAGGUGGUUAUAUAAGUUAGCUGUGAAAUUCCUGGGCUUAACCUAGGGUGGUCAGCUAAGACUGUAGGACUGGAGUAUAGGAGAGGGUAGUGGAAUUUCCGGUGUAGCGGUGAAAUGCGUAGAGAUCGGAAGGAACAUCGGUGGCGAAGGCGGCUACCUGGCCUAAUACUGACACUGAGGCACGAAAGCGUGGGGAGCAAACAGGAUUAGAUACCCUGGUAGUCCACGCUGUAAACGAUGUCAACUAGCUGUUGGCCUUAUGAAUGAGGUUAGUGGCGCAGCAAACGCGAUAAGUUGACCGCCUGGGGAGUACGGUCGCAAGAUUA